This 117-nucleotide ribosomal RNA is filed under the name Myotis davidii. The record is from RNAcentral. Lineage: Eukaryota; Metazoa; Chordata; Mammalia; Chiroptera; Vespertilionidae.
GUCUACGGCCAUACCACCCUGAACGCGCCCGAUCUCGUCUGAUCUCGGAAGCUAAGCAGGGUCGGGCCUGGUUAGUACUUAGUACUUGGAUGGGAGAAAAGGACAUAUGUGUAGACU